This 907-nucleotide long non-coding RNA is filed under the name Oryzias javanicus (javanese ricefish). RNAcentral's name for it is "lncRNA (ENSOJAG00000004084.1)". The record is from RNAcentral. Lineage: Eukaryota; Metazoa; Chordata; Actinopteri; Beloniformes; Adrianichthyidae.
GUUAUAUUAAUGAUACUUUUGCAGCCCAGUAAUUUUGUACAAAUAUCUAACCGUAUUUCUUAGAUGUGUGUGUGUUUUUAGGGGUUUGUCAAGUUAAGAUGCAUUUACUAAAAUUUCUGAUUGCAGUGAAUUCAUCAUCGCUGCAAAUUUCAGAUCUCAAAUCAUUUAUAGAGAAAAUAACAUUUUUUUAAAAAAUAAAAAUGUACUCAUGUUCUGCAUGACGUCUGUGAUUUAAGCACAAAUGUAUGUUUGUAUAAUCUCGUGUUUGUGGCGUGUGGAGCAGGUUCCUGGCUGCAGUCACGUCUCAGCGGUGGAAACUCCUUCCUCAUCCUCAGGCCUUCAUCUCGCUCCACUGCGACGCUCGCUCAGCUUCUCAGCAGACGCGUCUCUUCUGGGGAGUUACAGACCGAGAGCAGACAGAGUCCAGCCGCCUCCAGAAGCCUCACCUGCACACAGAGCUCACAUCAGGAGUCCAGCUUCAGCCCCGUGCAGCCCGGCUGCGGCCGGCGGCAGAAGUCCUUCAGACGCCAGACGCCUCAGAGAGCGGUAAACACUUUCAGUCGUUUCUUUAGAACACAACCCUCUGAGAGUUCAAUCCUAAACUGACAGGAGGGAACGUUUAAUGACUCGCUCUUCUGGUAUUUUUAACAUCCUUGUAUCGUUUUAUGACGAUGGAGGUCAUUUAUAAAGAAAAUUACACUUAAAACUGCAUUUUUGUUCAGAUAGUUGUAAAUCAGGAGGUUUCAGAACAAUGCAAGACUAGUUUGUGGCGCAGAAAUGGCGCCUGCUGCGCUGCAUUUCGAUGCUCUUGUAGAUCAGCGGUCUGCAACCUCUAAGAGUAAAAGAGCCAUUUGGGCUCGUUUUCUACUGAUCAAACCCUAGAAGGAGCCGCCUUGACUUAUGUUAG